AUGACCGACGAAGAUCGGAGAAAAUUCCAGGAAGCCAAUACUAUGUUUGUGGGAUGCAUUCUGAGUGUUCUUGCUGACCGUCUGUGUGAUGUGUACAUGCACAUAAACGACGGAAAAAUUCUGUGGGAUGCACUGAAUGCAAAAUUCGGUGCAACAGAUGCAGGCAGUGAACUGUACAUCAUGGAGAGUUUUCAUGACUACAAGAUGGUGAAUAACCGUUCUGUGGUUGUACAAGCUCAUGAGAUACAGUGCAUUGUGAAGGAACUUGAACUCCUUAAAUGUGUUCUACCCGACAAAUUCGUGGCUGGGUGCAUGAUUGCAAAGUUGCCUCCUUCAUGGAGGAAUUUCGCCACAACUCUGAAGCAUAAGAGACAAGAGAUAUCAGUUGAAAAUCUGAUUGCAUCUCUUGAUGUUGAAGAAAAAGCUCGGGCUAAAGAUAUUGAUUCGGGUGCUAAUGUUCAUGUGUGUGCUGACAUCUCCUUGUUUACUUCUUAUCAGGUCACAAGGGAUUCUUCCGUCCUAAUGGGGAAUGGGUCACAUGCUUCUGUUCGUGGCAUUGGCACGGUGGCUAAAGUUGAAAAUCAACUAGAGAGAAAGAUCAAGCGUCUUAGGUCCGAUCGUGGUGGAGAGUAUUUUCCAAAAGUUUUUGAUGAAUUUUGUGAGGAACAUGGUAUUAUUCAUGAGAGGACGCCUCCCUAUUCACCUCAAUCAAAUGGAGUGGCCGAGAGGAAAAACCGCACAUUGACUGACUUGGUGAAUGCCAUGUUAGACACUGCUGGUUUAUCUAAGGCAUGGUGGGGGGAGGCUCUAUUGACUUCAUGUCAUGUCCUGAAUAGAGUUCCUAACAAUAAUAAAGAGAAAACCCCUUAUGAGGAGUGGGUUGGGAGAAAACCAUCACUUUCUUAUUUGCGCACUUGGGGAUGUUUGACAAAGGUUAAUAUUCCUAUUCCUAAGAAACGCAAACUUGGACCAAAGACAGUGGAUUGUGUCUUUCUAGGGUAUGCUCAACGGAGCAUUGCUUAUAGGUUUUUAGUGGUAAAAUCUGAAGUACCUGAUAUGCAUGUUGAUACUAUAAUGGAAUUUCGUGAUGCAACAUUUUUUGAGAACAUAUUUCCUAUGAAAGAUAUGCAUAGCAUUGCUAGAUUUUCUUCUGAGAUAAUUCCUGAAUCUAGUACAACUGAUGAAUAUUUCGAACAAUCACAUGAGGAAGUCCUUGAGAAGGAUAACAAUGAAGUUCCUAGAAGGAACAAGAGACAAAGGAUUGCAAAAUCCUUUGGUGAUGAUUUCAUUGUAUACCUUGUGGACGACACACCCAAGACGAUUGCAGAAGCAUAUGCAUCUCCGGAUGUAGAUGAUUGGAAAGAAGUUGUUCAUAAUGAGAUGGACUCAAUUCUUUCUAAUGGAACUUGGGAACUAACUGAUAGACCAUAUGGUUGUAAACCUGUGGGCUGUAAGUGGGUGUUCAAAAAGAAGCUAAAGCCUGAUGGUACUAUUGAUAAGUACAAGGCGCGGCUAGUGGCCAAGGGCUACACUCAGAAAGAAGGCGAAGAUUACUUUGACACCUAUUCACCCAUUGCUAGAAUGACCACCAUUCGAGUGUUACUUUCCUUGGCUGCCUCUUAUGGUCUUAUCAUUCAUCAAAUGGAUGUAAAGACAGCUUUUCUCAAUGGAGAGUUGGAAGAGGAGAUCUAUAUGGAUCAGCCUGACGGGUUUGUGGUAAAGGGUGAAGAGAGAAAGGUGUGCAAGUUGUUAAAAUCUUUGUAUGGUCUGAAACAGGCACCUAAGCAAUGGCAUGAGAAGUUUGAAAGAACUUUGACUUCUGCAGGAUUUGUCAUUAACGAGGCUGAUAGGUGUGUUUACUAUCGCCAUGGUGGGGGCAAUAGUGUCAUAUUAUGUUUGUAUGUGGACGACAUACUGAUCUUUGGUACAAACAUUAAUGCAAUUAAUGAGGUCAAGUAUGUUCUAUCAAAAAGUUUUGACAUGAAAGAUCUGGGAGAAGCCGAUGUAAUUCUAAAUAUCAAACUUAUUAAGGAUGAGAGUGGGAUUACCUUAACGCAAUCUCACUAUGUUGAGAAGGUCUUGAACUGA
This 2088-nucleotide ribosomal RNA is filed under the name Triticum aestivum (bread wheat). RNAcentral's name for it is "partial small subunit ribosomal RNA". Lineage: Eukaryota; Viridiplantae; Streptophyta; Magnoliopsida; Poales; Poaceae. The record is from RNAcentral.